This 391-nucleotide ribosomal RNA is filed under the name Pterostichus oblongopunctatus. RNAcentral describes it as "bacterial SSU rRNA". It matches the Rfam family "Eukaryotic small subunit ribosomal RNA", at positions 583 to 885 of the family's 1831-position model. Lineage: Eukaryota; Metazoa; Arthropoda; Insecta; Coleoptera; Carabidae. The record is from RNAcentral.
UUCCAGCUCCAAUAGCGUAUAUUAAAGUUGUUGCGGUUAAAAAGCUCGUAGUUGAAUUUGUGUCUCGCACUGUCGGUUCACCGCCCGCGGUGCUAACUGGCAUGUUUGCGAGACGUCCUGCCGGUGGAUGUUCAAUAGUUUUCGGUGGAUUCCGGGUGCCUUCGGGCCUCGUGGGUUACUGAAUUUCUAUUUCAUCCGACUUAUAAAUCCUGUCGCGGUGCUCUUAACUGAGUGUCGAGGCGGGCCGGCACGUUUACUUUGAACAAAUUAGAGUGCUCAAAGCAGGCUAAUUAAUGCCUGAAUAAUUAGUGCAUGGAAUAAUGGAACAGGACCUUGGUUCUAUUUUGUUGGUUUUCGGAACCCCAAGGUAAUGAUUAAUAGGGACAGAUGG